This 45-nucleotide non-coding RNA is filed under the name Echinostoma caproni. Lineage: Eukaryota; Metazoa; Platyhelminthes; Trematoda; Plagiorchiida; Echinostomatidae. The record is from RNAcentral.
GCAUUGCUGACGAGUUCCAAACAGGACGAAACAGCUGUCCAGUGC